UACGUAGGGGGCAAGCGUUGUCCGGAAUCAUUGGGCGUAGAGAGCGUGUAGGCGGCUUGGUAAGUCCGCUGUGAAAGUCCAGGGCUCAACCCUGGAAUGCCGGUGGAAACUGUCAAGCUUGAGUCCGGAAGAGGCGAGUGGAAUUCCUGGUGUAGCGGUGAAAUGCGCAGAUAUCAGGAGGAACACCAAUGGCGAAGGCAGCUCGCUGGGACGGUACUGACGCUGAGACGCGAAAGCGUGGGGAGCAAACAGG
Molecule: ribosomal RNA, 253 nt
Filed under: uncultured bacterium
Lineage: Bacteria
Description: partial 16S ribosomal RNA
Rfam family: Bacterial small subunit ribosomal RNA
Source: RNAcentral